CAGUCGAGCGGCAGCGGAAAGUAGCUUGCUACUUUGCCGGCGAGCGGCGGACGGGUGAGUAAUGUCUGGGAAACUGCCUGAUGGAGGGGGAUAACUACUGGAAACGGUAGCUAAUACCGCAUGACCUCGAAAGAGCAAAGUGGGGGAUCUUCGGACCUCACGCCAUCGGAUGUGCCCAGAUGGGAUUAGCUAGUAGGUGAGGUAAUGGCUCACCUAGGCGACGAUCCCUAGCUGGUCUGAGAGGAUGACC
This 250-nucleotide ribosomal RNA is filed under the name Rahnella sp. RNAcentral describes it as "partial 16S ribosomal RNA". It matches the Rfam family "Bacterial small subunit ribosomal RNA", at positions 60 to 305 of the family's 1533-position model. The record is from RNAcentral. Lineage: Bacteria; Pseudomonadati; Pseudomonadota; Gammaproteobacteria; Enterobacterales; Yersiniaceae.